This 301-nucleotide ribosomal RNA is filed under the name uncultured bacterium. RNAcentral describes it as "partial 16S ribosomal RNA". It matches the Rfam family "Bacterial small subunit ribosomal RNA", at positions 509 to 809 of the family's 1533-position model. The record is from RNAcentral.
CAGUAGCCGCGGUAAUACAGAGGUCCCGAGCGUUGUUCGGAUUCAUUGGGCGUAAAGGGUGUGUAGGAGGCCAGGUAAGUCAGGUGUGAAAUCUCAGAGCUUAACUCUGAAACUGCGCUUGAUACUGCUUGGCUAGAGGAUCGGAGGGGGUAACGGAAUUUAUGGUGUAGCAGUGAAAUGCGUAGAUAUCGGAAGGAACACCUGUGGCGAAAGCGGCUCACUGGACCAUUUCUGACGCUGAUGCACGAAAGCUAGGGGAGCAAACAGGAUUAGAGACCCGAGUAGUCCCUGUCUCUUAUAA